This 66-nucleotide transfer RNA is filed under the name Ergatettix serrifemora. Its description in RNAcentral is "tRNA-Leu". Lineage: Eukaryota; Metazoa; Arthropoda; Insecta; Orthoptera; Tetrigidae. The record is from RNAcentral.
ACUAUUUUGGCAGAUAAGGAUGUGUUAGAUUUAGAAUCUAUUUAUGUAAUUGAUUUACAAAUAGUA